CAGCCGCCGCGGGAAUACGAAGGGUGCAAGCGUUAAUCGGAAUUACUGGGCGUAAAGCGUGCGUAGGCGGUUUGUUAAGUCUGUUGUGAAAUCCCCGGGCUCAACCUGGGAAUGGCAAUGGAUACUGGCAAGCUAGAGUGUGUCAGAGGAUGGUGGAAUUCCCGGUGUAGUGGUGAAAUGCGUAGAGAUCGGGAGGAACAUCAGUGGCGAAGGCGGCCAUCUGGGACAACACUGACGCUGAGGCACGAAAGCGUGGGGAGCAAACAGGAUUAGAUACCCCUGUAGUCCCUGUCUCUUAUAC
This 301-nucleotide ribosomal RNA is filed under the name uncultured bacterium. RNAcentral's name for it is "partial 16S ribosomal RNA". It matches the Rfam family "Bacterial small subunit ribosomal RNA", at positions 509 to 807 of the family's 1533-position model. The record is from RNAcentral.